Molecule: ribosomal RNA, 497 nt
Filed under: uncultured bacterium
Lineage: Bacteria
Description: partial 16S ribosomal RNA
Rfam family: Bacterial small subunit ribosomal RNA
Source: RNAcentral
GAUGAACGCUGGCGGCGUGCCUAAUACAUGCAAGUCGAGCGAACAGAUGAGGAGCUUGCUCCUCUGACGUUAGCGGCGGACGGGUGAGUAACACGUGGAUAACCUACCUAUAAGACUGGGAUAACUUCGGGAAACCGGAGCUAAUACCGGAUAAUAUAUUGAACCGCAUGGUUCAAUAGUGAAAGACGGUUUUGCUGUCACUUAUAGAUGGAUCCGCGCCGCAUUAGCUAGUUGGUAAGGUAACGGCUUACCAAGGCAACGAUGGGUAUCCGACCUGAGAGGGUGAUCGGCCACACUGGAACUGAGACACGGUCCAGACUCCUACGGGAGGCAGCAGUAGGGAAUCUUCCGCAAUGGGCGAAAGCCUGACGGAGCAACGCCGCGUGAGUGAUGAAGGUCUUCGGAUCGUAAAACUCUGUUAUUAGGGAAGAACAAAUGUGUAAGUAACUAUGCACGUCUUGACGGUACCUAAUCAGAAAGCCACGGCUAACUACGUG